GAUGAACGCUGGCGGCGUGCUUAACACAUGCAAGUCGAACGGGAUCCCGGGGGUUCGCUUCCGGGUGAGAGUGGCGAACGGGUGAGUAAUGCGUGACCGACCUGCCCCAUACACCGGAAUAGCUCCUGGAAACGGGUGGUAAUGCCGGAUGCUCCGGUUGGAUGCAUGUCCUUCCGGGAAAGAUUCUAUCGGUAUGGGAUGGGGUCGCGUCCUAUCAGCUUGAUGGCGGGGUAACGGCCCACCAUGGCUUCGACGGGUAGCCGGCCUGAGAGGGCGACCGGCCACAUUGGGACUGAGAUACGGCCCAGACUCCUACGGGAGGCAGCAGUGGGGAAUAUUGCACAAUGGGCGCAAGCCUGAUGCAGCGACGCCGCGUGCGGGAUGGAGGCCUUCGGGUUGUAAACCGCUUUUGAUCGGGAGCAAGCCCU
Molecule: ribosomal RNA, 428 nt
Filed under: Bifidobacterium dentium
Lineage: Bacteria; Bacillati; Actinomycetota; Actinomycetes; Bifidobacteriales; Bifidobacteriaceae
Description: bacterial SSU rRNA
Rfam family: Bacterial small subunit ribosomal RNA
Source: RNAcentral